UGGAAAGCAUUUAAUUCAUUGAAUUCACAUGAAUUUUUAAUAACUAUCAUACAUUUAAAACUAUUGGGCCACUUGCAUUUUAGAGAAAAGAUUGCUUAUUCAAGAGUAAUAAAUCUUAAAUAGUGUAUCAUAUUUGAGUAAGGCUAGCUUCCCAAUCCUCAUACAUAAUCUCAUAGCCCAUUAUUCUUCUAGGAAUGGGAGGUGGUGCUCUUACAGUCUUCUCAAAGGAUUUUAAAAAAUCCUGAAUUUUUAAUUUUUAUAACAACAAUCCAAAGAAGUUGAGAUUUUGUUGAUUCUCACUCUUAAUGCAUAUUAUGUAUAGAUUCAGCCAAAUCUAGGCUUCAAAGCAAAGCCAAGAUCAUUUCUUUUUGAAAAAAAUUACAUAUUAUUGCAUUUUAUUAUGAGUCUCCACCAAAAUAUUUUGGUGAUGACAAUGAGGUUUGCUGUCACCUACUACUUCUGAUGAUAUUAGUGACUUCCAUGAUGCACUUGCUGUAUUUUUCAAAUUUUUGUGCUUCUGCCAUUGCUCCACAGUGAGAGGAACAGAUGAUUUCUAGCUGUUGUGUGACUAUUUCUUCUUCUGGACUAUUCAGGUGUAUUCAGUGAUCACACUGUGUCAGAUAUCUUCCAACUAGUCACUGGCCUGCAACAAAGCUGGAAUGAGGUCUCAGAGUAAUGGACUCCAAAAGACUAUGCAUUACACUGCUGGAGAAUAUGCUGGAAACAAAUCUGACAGGGCAUUAGUAGAAGAGGAAUGAAAUAUCAUUUUCUUAACUUCAAAGUCCAACUGCAUGGCCAAUCAAGGUUGAUUGACUGAAGGUGUCAAAAAGAGUGGCAGACAAUAUCCUCCAGUCUGCUGACCUUGCGUUUCAGAAGACAGAUUAAACCAGGCGGUAUCUUUCUAAAUUCAAAUGGACUGG
Molecule: long non-coding RNA, 920 nt
Filed under: Sus scrofa (pig)
Lineage: Eukaryota; Metazoa; Chordata; Mammalia; Artiodactyla; Suidae
Description: lncRNA (ENSSSCG00045004794.1)
Source: RNAcentral